CCUACGGGAGGCUGCAGUGGGGAAUAUUGGACAAUGGGCGCAAGCCUGACCCAGCAACGCCGCGUGAAUGAAGAAGUCUUUCGGGUUGUAAACUUCUUUUAUCAGGGACGAAGCAAGUGACGGUACCUGAUGAAUAAGCCACGGCUAACUACGUGCCAGUAGCCGCGGUAAUACGUAGGUGGCAAGCGUUCUCCGGAUUUACUGGGUGUAAAGGGCGUGUAGGCGGGAGUGCAAGUCAGAUGUGAAAACUAUGGGCUCAACCCAUAGCCUGCUUUUGAAACUGUAUUUCUUGAGGGCUGGAGAGGCAAGCGGAAUUCCUGGUGUAGCGGUGAAAGGCGUAGAUAUACGGAGGAACACCAGUGGCGAAGGCGGACUGCUGGACAGUAACUGACGCUGAGGCGCGAAAGCGUGGGGAGCAAACAGGAUUAGAUACCCGGGUAGUC
This 443-nucleotide ribosomal RNA is filed under the name uncultured bacterium. RNAcentral describes it as "partial 16S ribosomal RNA". It matches the Rfam family "Bacterial small subunit ribosomal RNA", at positions 338 to 795 of the family's 1533-position model. The record is from RNAcentral.